RNAcentral lists this ribosomal RNA (450 nucleotides) under uncultured bacterium. RNAcentral describes it as "partial 16S ribosomal RNA". It matches the Rfam family "Bacterial small subunit ribosomal RNA", at positions 354 to 796 of the family's 1533-position model. The record is from RNAcentral.
GUGGGGAAUCUUCCGCAAUGGACGAAAGUCUGACGGAGCAACGCCGCGUGAGUGAAGAAGGUUUUCGGAUCGUAAAGCUCUUUCGUCAGGGACGAACGUAUUUCUUGUAAAUAAUGAGAGAUAGUGACGGUACCUUAAUAAGAAGCCACGGCUAACUACGUGCCAGCAGCCGCGGUAAUACGUAGGUGGCAAGCGUUGUCCGGAAUUAUUGGGCGUAAAGCGCGCGCAGGCGGGAUAUCAAGUCUGUCUUUAAAGUGCGAGGCUCAACCUCGAGAGGGGACGGAAACUGGUAUUCUUGAGUGUCGGAGAGGAAAGUGGAAUUCCAAGUGUAGCGGUGAAAUGCGUAGAGAUUUGGCAGAACACCAGUGGCGAAGGCGACUUUCUGGACGAUGUCUGACGCUGAGGCGCGAAAGCUAGGGGAGCGAACGGGAUUAGAUACCCGAGUAGUCC